GAUGAACGCUGGCGGCGUGCUUAACACAUGCAAGUCGAACGGAAAGGCCCAAGCUUGCUUGGGUACUCGAGUGGCGAACGGGUGAGUAACACGUGGGUGAUCUGCCCUGCACUUCGGGAUAAGCCUGGGAAACUGGGUCUAAUACCGGAUAGGACGAUGGUUUGGAUGCCAUUGUGGAAAGUUUUUUCGGUGUGGGAUGAGCUCGCGGCCUAUCAGCUUGUUGGUGGGGUAAUGGCCUACCAAGGCGUCGACGGGUAGCCGGCCUGAGAGGGUGUACGGCCACAUUGGGACUGAGAUACGGCCCAGACUCCUACGGGAGGCAGCAGUGGGGAAUAUUGCACAAUGGGCGCAAGCCUGAUGCAGCGACGCCGCGUGGGGGAUGACGGCCUUCGGGUUGUAAACUCCUUUCGCUAGGGACGAAGCGUUUUUGUGACGGUACCUGGAGACGAAGCACCGGCUAACUACGUG
Molecule: ribosomal RNA, 468 nt
Filed under: uncultured bacterium
Lineage: Bacteria
Description: partial 16S ribosomal RNA
Rfam family: Bacterial small subunit ribosomal RNA
Source: RNAcentral